AAAAAAGGUAAGCUACUAAGAGCGAAUGGUGGAUGCCUUGACUGGUAAAGGCGAUGAAGGACGUACUAGACUGCGAUAAGCUACGGGGAGCUGUCAAGAAGCUUUGAUCCGUAGAUUUCCGAAUGGGGCAACCCAAUGUAUAGAGAUAUACAUUACCUAUAUAGGAGCGAACGAGGGGAAUUGAAACAUCUUAGUACCCUCAGGAAAAGAAAUCAAUAGAGAUUGCGUCAGUAGCGGCGAGCGAAAGCGCAAGAGGGCAAACCCAGUGCUUGCACUGGGGGUUGUAGGACUGCAAUGUGCAAGAGGUAAGUUUAGCAGAACAUUCUGGAAAGUAUAACCAUAGAGGGUGAUAGUCCCGUAUGCGAAAAACAAACCUUAGCUAGCAGUAUCCUGAGUAGGGCGGGACACGAGGAAUCCUGUCUGAAUCUGGGUCGACCACGAUCCAACCCUAAAUACUAAUACCAGAUCGAUAGUGCACAAGUACCGUGAGGGAAAGGUGAAAAGAACUGAGGUGAUCAGAGUGAAAUAGAACCUGAAACCAUUUGCUUACAAUCAUUCAGAGCCCUAUGUAGCAAUACAGGGUGAUGGACUGCCUUUUGCAUAAUGAGCCUGCGAGUUGUGGUGUCUGGCAAGGUUAAGCAAACGCGAAGCCGUAGCGAAAGCGAGUCUGAAUAGGGCGCUUAGUCAGAUGCUGCAGACCCGAAACGAAGUGAUCUAUCCAUGAGCAAGUUGAAGCUAGUGUAAGAACUAGUGGAGGACUGAACCCAUAGGCGUUGAAAAGCCCCGGGAUGACUUGUGGAUAGGGGUGAAAGGCCAAUCAAACUUCGUGAUAGCUGGUUCUCUCCGAAAUAUAUUUAGGUAUAGCGUUGUGUCGUAAUAUAAGGGGGUAGAGCACUGAAUGGGCUAGGGCAUACACCAAUGUACCAAACCCUAUCAAACUCCGAAUACCUUAUAUGUAAUCACAGCAGUCAGGCGGCGAGUGAUAAAAUCCGUCGUCAAGAGGGAAACAACCCAGACUACCAGCUAAGGUCCCUAAAUCUUACUUAAGUGGAAAACGAUGUGAAGUUACUUAAACAACCAGGAGGUUGGCUUAGAAGCAGCCAUCCUUUAAAGAAAGCGUAAUAGCUCACUGGUCUAGUGAUUUUGCGCGGAAAAUAUAACGGGGCUAAAGUAAGUACCGAAGCUGUAGACUUGCACACAACUUAGAUUAUUUAAGUUUAGAAUAUGAGAAACUAAGUUAUAUGUUUAGUUAUAUUUUUACUGAUUUUUAUAGAGUAAAGAUAGAAAUAAAACUUAGUAAAAUCAGUAAAAAUAUUCUUAGACUAAAGUUAAGUAGUUUAAGUUGUGUGCAAGUGGUAGGAGAGCGUUCUAUUUGCGUCGAAGGUAUACCGGUAAGGAGUGCUGGAGCGAAUAGAAGUGAGCAUGCAGGCAUGAGUAGCGAUAAUUAAUGUGAGAAUCAUUAACGCCGUAAACCCAAGGUUUCCUACGCGAUGCUCGUCAUCGUAGGGUUAGUCGGGUCCUAAGUCGAGUCCGAAAGGGGUAGACGAUGGCAAAUUGGUUAAUAUUCCAAUACCAACAUUAGUGUGCGAUGGAAGGACGCUUAGGGCUAAGGGGGCUAGCGGAUGGAAGUGCUAGUCUAAGGUCGUAGGAGGUUAUACAGGCAAAUCCGUAUAACAAUACUCCGAGAACUGAAAGGCUUUUUGAAGUCUUCGGAUGGAUAGAAGAACCCCUGAUGCCGUCGAGCCAAGAAAAGUUUCUAAGUUUAGUUAAUGUUGCCCGUACCGUAAACCGACACAGGUGGGUGGGAUGAGUAUUCUAAGGCGCGUGGAAGAACUCUCUUUAAGGAACUCUGCAAAAUAGCACCGUAUCUUCGGUAUAAGGUGUGGUUAGCUUUGUAUUAGGAUUUACUCCGAAAGCAAGGAAACUUACAACAAAGAGUCCCUCCCGACUGUUUACCAAAAACACAGCACUCUGCUAACUCGUAAGAGGAUGUAUAGGGUGUGACGCCUGCCCGGUGCUCGAAGGUUAAUUGAUGGGGUUAGCAUUAGCGAAGCUCUUGAUCGAAGCCCGAGUAAACGGCGGCCGUAACUAUAACGGUCCUAAGGUAGCGAAAUUCCUUGUCGGUUAAAUACCGACCUGCAUGAAUGGCGUAACGAGAUGGGAGCUGUCUCAAAGAGGGAUCCAGUGAAAUUGUAGUGGAGGUGAAAAUUCCUCCUACCCGCGGCAAGACGGAAAGACCCCGUGGACCUUUACUACAGCUUGACACUGCUACUUGGAUAAGAAUGUGCAGGAUAGGUGGGAGGCUUUGAGUAUAUGACGCCAGUUGUAUAUGAGCCAUUGUUGAGAUACCACUCUUUCUUAUUUGGGUAGCUAACCAGCUUGAGUUAUCCUCAAGUGGGACAAUGUCUGGUGGGUAGUUUGACUGGGGCGGUCGCCUCCCAAAUAAUAACGGAGGCUUACAAAGGUUGGCUCAGAACGGUUGGAAAUCGUUCGUAGAGUAUAAAGGUAUAAGCCAGCUUAACUGCAAGACAUACAAGUCAAGCAGAGACGAAAGUCGGUCUUAGUGAUCCGGUGGUUCUGUGUGGAAGGGCCAUCGCUCAAAGGAUAAAAGGUACCCCGGGGAUAACAGGCUGAUCUCCCCCAAGAGCUCACAUCGACGGGGAGGUUUGGCACCUCGAUGUCGGCUCAUCGCAUCCUGGGGCUGGAGCAGGUCCCAAGGGUAUGGCUGUUCGCCAUUUAAAGCGGUACGCGAGCUGGGUUCAGAACGUCGUGAGACAGUUCGGUCCCUAUCUGCCGUGGGCGUAAGAAGAUUGAAGAGAUUUGACCCUAGUACGAGAGGACCGGGUUGAACAAACCACUGGUGUAGCUGUUGUUCUGCCAAGAGCAUCGCAGCGUAGCUAAGUUUGGAAAGGAUAAACGCUGAAAGCAUCUAAGCGUGAAGCCAACUCUAAGAUGAAUCUUCUCUAAGCUCUCUAGAAGACUACUAGUUUGAUAGGCUGGGUGUGUAAUGGAUGAAAGUCCUUUAGCUGACCAGUACUAAUAGAGCGUUUGGCUUAUCUUUAAUAAAGCAU
Molecule: ribosomal RNA, 3071 nt
Filed under: Campylobacter coli
Lineage: Bacteria; Pseudomonadati; Campylobacterota; Epsilonproteobacteria; Campylobacterales; Campylobacteraceae
Description: 23S ribosomal RNA
Rfam family: Bacterial large subunit ribosomal RNA
Source: RNAcentral